This 253-nucleotide ribosomal RNA is filed under the name uncultured bacterium. Its description in RNAcentral is "partial 16S ribosomal RNA". It matches the Rfam family "Bacterial small subunit ribosomal RNA", at positions 524 to 776 of the family's 1533-position model. The record is from RNAcentral.
UCCGUAGGGUGCGAGCGUUAAUCGGAAUUACUGGGCGUAAAGCGUGCGCAGGCGGUUCGUUGUGUCGGUGGUGAAAUCCCCGGGCUUAACCUGGGAAUGGCCAUGGAAACUGGCGAACUGGAGUGCGGCAGAGGGGGGUGGAAUUCCGCGUGUAGCAGUGAAAUGCGUAGAGAUGCGGAGGAACACCGAUGGCGAAGGCAGCCCCCUGGGCUAGCACUGACGCUCAGGCACGAAAGCGUGGGGAGCAAACAGG